RNAcentral lists this ribosomal RNA (430 nucleotides) under beta proteobacterium SCGC AAA024-F09. RNAcentral's name for it is "bacterial SSU rRNA". It matches the Rfam family "Bacterial small subunit ribosomal RNA", at positions 354 to 776 of the family's 1533-position model. The record is from RNAcentral. Lineage: Bacteria; Pseudomonadati; Pseudomonadota; Betaproteobacteria.
GUGGGGAAUUUUGGACAAUGGACGCAAGUCUGAUCCAGCCAUUCCGCGUGCAGGACGAAGGCCUUCGGGUUGUAAACUGCUUUUGUACGGAACGAAAAAGCCUUGGCUAAUACCCAGGGUCCAUGACGGUACCGUAAGAAUAAGCACCGGCUAACUACGUGCCAGCAGCCGCGGUAAUACGUAGGGUGCGAGCGUUAAUCGGAAUUACUGGGCGUAAAGCGUGCGCAGGCGGUUAUAUAAGACAGAUGUGAAAUCCCCGGGCUCAACCUGGGAACUGCAUUUGUGACUGUAUAGCUAGAGUGCGGCAGAGGGGGAUGGAAUUCCGCGUGUAGCAGUGAAAUGCGUAGAUAUGCGGAGGAACACCGAUGGCGAAGGCAAUCCCCUGGGCCUGCACUGACGCUCAUGCACGAAAGCGUGGGGAGCAAACAGA